AAGCGUUGUUCGGAAUUAUUGGGCGUAAAGCGCGUGUAGGCGGUCUKUUAAGUCUGAUGUGAAAGCCCCGGGCUCAACCUGGGAAGUGCAUUGGAUACUGGSAGACUUGARUACGGGAGAGGRYAGUGGAAUYCCUAGUGUAGGAGUGAAAUCCGUAGAUAUYAGGAGGAACACCGGUGGCGAAGGCGGCUGCCUGGACCGAUAUUGACGCUGAGACGCGAAAGCGUGGGGAGCAAACAGGAUUAGAUACCCUGGUAGUCCACGCCGUAAACGAUGAGUACUAGGUGUUGCGGGUAUUGACCCCUGCAGUGCC
This 313-nucleotide ribosomal RNA is filed under the name uncultured delta proteobacterium. Its description in RNAcentral is "partial 16S ribosomal RNA". It matches the Rfam family "Bacterial small subunit ribosomal RNA", at positions 536 to 847 of the family's 1533-position model. The record is from RNAcentral. Lineage: Bacteria; Deltaproteobacteria.